This 207-nucleotide ribosomal RNA is filed under the name uncultured bacterium. Its description in RNAcentral is "partial 16S ribosomal RNA". It matches the Rfam family "Bacterial small subunit ribosomal RNA", at positions 568 to 774 of the family's 1533-position model. The record is from RNAcentral.
CGCGUAGGCGGCGGGGUAAGUCUGGUGUGAAAUCUCGGAGCUCAACUCCGAAAUUGCACUGGAUACUGCUCUGCUUGAGGGCUGGAGAGGAGAUCGGAAUUCACGGUGUAGCAGUGAAAUGCGUAGAUAUCGUGAGGAAGACCAGUGGCGAAGGCGGAUCUCUGGACAGCUCCUGACGCUGAGGCGCGAAGGCUAGGGGAGCAAACG